This 399-nucleotide ribosomal RNA is filed under the name uncultured bacterium. Its description in RNAcentral is "bacterial SSU rRNA". It matches the Rfam family "Bacterial small subunit ribosomal RNA", at positions 330 to 745 of the family's 1533-position model. The record is from RNAcentral.
UCCAGACUCCUACGGGAGGCAGCAGUGGGGAAUAUUGCGCAAUGGGGGCAACCCUGACGCAGCAACGCCGCGUGAUUGAAGAAGGCCUUCGGGUUGUAAAGAUCUUUAAUCAGGGACGAAAAAUGACGGUACCUGAAGAAUAAGCUCCGGCUAACUACGUGCCAGCAGCCGCGGUAAUACGUAGGUGGCGAGCGUUAUCCGGAAUUACUGGGUGUAAAGGGUGUGUAGGCGGGAGUGCAAGUCAGACGUGAAAACUAUGGGGCCAACCCAUAACGUGCGUUUGAAACUGUGGUUCUUGAGAGUGGGAGAGGUAAACGGAAUUCCUGGGGUAGUAGGGAAAUGCGUAGAUAUCAGGAGGAACACCGGUGGCGAAGGCGGUUUACUGGACCACAACUGACG